This 1276-nucleotide ribosomal RNA is filed under the name Dioscorea cayenensis subsp. rotundata (Guinea yam). RNAcentral describes it as "bacterial SSU rRNA". The stretch from base 1 to 891 matches the Rfam family "Bacterial small subunit ribosomal RNA". The record is from RNAcentral. Lineage: Eukaryota; Viridiplantae; Streptophyta; Magnoliopsida; Dioscoreales; Dioscoreaceae.
AGAGUUUGAUCCUGGCUUAGGAUGAACGCUGGCGGCAUGCUUAACACAUGCACGUAGGACGGGAAGUGGUGUUUCUAGUGGCAGACAGGUGAGUAAGGCGUAAGAACCUGCCCUUGGGAGGGGAACAACAACUAGAAACGGUUGAUAAUACCACGUAGGCUGAGGAGCAAAAGAAGGAAUCCGCCGAGGAGGGGCCCGCGUCUUAUUAGCUAGUUCAUGAGGUAAAAGCUUACCAAGGCGAUGAGUAGUAACUAGUCCGAGAGGAUGAUUAGUCACACUGGGACUGAGACACGACCCAGACUCCUACAGGAGGCAGCAGUGGGGUAUUUCCGCAAUGGACGAAAGCCUGACAGAGUAAUGCCGCAUGGAGAUAGAAGGCCCACGGGUCAUGAACUUCUUUUCUUGGAGAAGAAGCAAUGAUGGUAUCUGAGGAAUAAGCAUCGGCUAACUCUGUGCUAGUAGCCGUGGUAAGAUAGAGGAUGCAAGCAUUAUCCAGAAUAAUUGGGCGUAAAGCGUCUGUAGGUGGCUUUUCAAGUCCGCCAUCAAAUCCCAGGGCUCAACCCUGGACAGGCAGUGGAAACUACCAAGAUGGUGUAUGGUAGGGGCAGAGGGAAUUUCUGGUAGAGCGGUGAAAUGCGUAGAGAUCGGAAAGAACACCAACGGCGAAAGCACUCUGCUGGGCCAACACUGACAUUGAGACGAAAGCUAGGGGAGCAAAUGGGAUUUGAUACCCUAGUAGUCCUAGCCGUAAACAUUGGAUACUAGGCACUGUGCUUAUCGACCCGUAUAGUGUUGUAGCUAACGCGUUAAGUAUCCCGCCUAGACAGUAUGUUCACAAGAAUGAAACUCAAAGGAACUGACUGACACUCUUGCUAACUUAAAGCUACCUUAAAAAAAGAAGAAACUUCUUCUACCAAGACUAGAAAUUGAGCUAGAAAUUUUCUUUAUAAUACCUCGUGAGAAAAGACAAGGCAAAAGAGACUUACCCACUAUAGAAAGGUAAGGAAAAAGAGAAUGAAUGACCUAAUAGAACAGAGGGAAGGCAAGAGCUAUUAUAGCUACUACUACUAUGACUUUAAAGGAAUGCCUAUGAGUCAAAUCUCUUUGAGAGACCCCUUUUGAUAUCAUCCUACUGAGCUUGCUAAUCAGUCGCAUCAAUCCAUUAAGUGGAUUAACCCUCAGGUUGUGACAUUAGUGGCUUGUCGCACUAUCCUCCUCUUAAUGGAGCUCUUAGACAAAGAAAGAAGCUACUUCAAUGACAGCUACUACUCCUAGU